Long non-coding RNA from Monodelphis domestica (gray short-tailed opossum), 201 nucleotides. RefSeq lists it as uncharacterized. Lineage: Eukaryota; Metazoa; Chordata; Mammalia; Didelphimorphia; Didelphidae. The record is from RefSeq and is a predicted model, not a curated record.
CUCAGAGAAAGGAAGUUGAGACCAACAAGAUGGGAAACUGGUUCCAUAAGCACUAUCCGCCCUGGGCAGUGCCAGGUACUAAUGAGCAAUGAAAUGUCCAAAAGGUGGCUAUUUAAAGUACCCUGAGGAGAAGGAAGUGGGGGGAACCCCAGGAAGAAACUUGUACCCUUAAGUUGUAAAGAUCUAAAGGUUAUCCAUUAA